RNAcentral lists this ribosomal RNA (430 nucleotides) under uncultured Acidobacteriota bacterium. RNAcentral's name for it is "bacterial SSU rRNA". It matches the Rfam family "Bacterial small subunit ribosomal RNA", at positions 355 to 776 of the family's 1533-position model. The record is from RNAcentral. Lineage: Bacteria; Pseudomonadati; Acidobacteriota.
UGGGGAAUUUUUCGCAAUGGGGGAAACCCUGACGAAGCAACGCCGCGUGGGGGAUGAAGGUCCUCGGAUUGUAAACCCCUGUCGACUGGGACGAAAGCUAUUGGACUUAAUACGCCCGAUAGUCGACUGUACCGGUGGAGGAAGCCACGGCUAACUCUGUGCCAGCAGCCGCGGUAAUACAGAGGUGGCAAGCGUUGUUCGGAAUUACUGGGCGUAAAGGGCGCGUAGGCGGCCCUGUAAGUCCCGCGUGAAAGCCCUCGGCUCAACCGAGGAACUGCGCGGGAGACUGCAAGGCUUGAGUUCGGGAGAGGGAAGUGGAAUUCCGGGUGUAGCGGUGAAAUGCGCAGAUAUCCGGAGGAACACCGGUGGCGAAGGCGGCUUCCUGGACCGACACUGACGCUGAGGCGCGAAAGCUAGGGGAGCAAACGGG